RNAcentral lists this non-coding RNA (242 nucleotides) under Dialister sp. RNAcentral describes it as "T-box sequence". It matches the Rfam family "T-box leader". From Rfam's summary of the family: Uncharged tRNA acts as the effector for transcription antitermination of genes in the T-box leader family. T-boxes are found upstream of many aminoacyl-tRNA synthetase genes and some amino acid biosynthetic genes usually in Gram-positive bacteria. The anticodon of a specific tRNA base pairs to a specifier sequence within the T-box motif, and the NCCA acceptor tail of the tRNA base pairs to a conserved bulge in the T-box antiterminator hairpin. The record is from RNAcentral. Lineage: Bacteria; Bacillati; Bacillota; Negativicutes; Veillonellales; Veillonellaceae.
AAAUAAGCAAUGAAGAGAAGAGUAGGCAGAAAAGACUAUACCAGAAAGCUCCGGCAGAUGGAAAGGAGCAUAGGGAUAUUUGCUGAACAUGGCCUCUGAGCUGGGAUUGCUGAAUAAUGAAGCAUCCCGGGUGUGCCCGAUACAGCACUAAGGUAUUAAGGCAAAAGCCGGCGUACCUGAUGAGAUUCAUGCAGCGAUGUAUGGAUAAACUUGGGUGGUAACACGAAUCUUUCGUCCCUUUG